CGCUCCGGGCGGCAGGGACCCGCUCGUGCCGGGACCGCGCGGCGGCGGCGGUCACCCGGAGCAGGCCGGCUGCUCCUGGCCGGCGCUGUCGGCGCCGGCGGGGGCCUGGGAGCCCGGGGCUCCUUCCGGGCUCUCCCGCCCGCACGGCUCCCCACCGGCUCCGGGGGCGGCAGCGGCGCGGCCCGAGCGAAGCGGCCAUGGGGCCAAGUUGGGCGCCGGGCGGAAGCGGAGGCCGCUGCGGACCCCGCACUCCCGCAGCCGGCGACUGGAACCCACCUCUGCAGAGACAAAGAUACCCGUGGAUUCAGCCAACACCUGGAAGCAGAAGACACAGGCUUGGAUGAGAAACAGCAACACCUUCUACAGUGAAGAAUAAUAAAACAAUAUUUUUAAUUAUACAAGAAAAUGGGGCAAGUUGUUGGACCCUCCCAAGCUAGAACACUUUACACUGGUCUAUACAUGUUGAACCAGAGAUUGUUCGAUCCUAAAAUUUUCUGAGAAAUAAUCUCAAUUUUCAAUUUUCCUCUCCCCUUCUACCCAAAUAAAAGCGGAGCUUUGUGACCCUCCUUUUCAGCUUGGGGAAGGACAGCUGAGAAAAGACUCUUUGCACUGAAAAGGCAGCCAUAUUUGCACUUUUUUCCCCUGUACAGAGGUAAACGAUGUGCUGGGCUUUGUGGAACCUCACAAAAUGGCAGUCCCUGAACUGGCUUUUCUCUAAGAACCAUUGAGAUCCACACCCUCCUUUGUGUGUUUCUGGUCCUUGCAAACAGAGAACCUAAAUCACUUCGAAGGCUUGGUUCUUUCAUUCAGUGUUAACAUUGGAUGGUCCUAUUUUUCUCUAAACGGUUUACAGACCUCUCUAAGCAGACUCUCUAAGCAGCCCAGAGCAGAAAAGCAUCGUCUGGGUUUGCAAAGGGUUCUCUGAAGGUUUAUGCAAAUUUCUGCAGCAAAAAAUGUUUGCUCCCUUGUUGCAGAAACCCUCGGGUAUUUACAGAUUUGAGCCAAUUAGAAGUGCAUCUUCCGAGCUCGUCACUGCAAGUCUAUCUGCGUGAAACACCAUGAUGGGGGGUUUCUAGCCGCUGUAAGAAAGAAGGUGGCAAGUGGGUGUGUGAUGUGUAAUUCCCCCAGCUCUUUAUUUGCAGACAAAUCCAUGCUUUUCCUAACUACAAAAGGAAAUAUAUAUACCUACAUUUAUUACCAACACUUUCUGCACGUGUGAUCUAUGUAUACGCACAAAUACACCAAAUAUGCAAAAACCCCACCAAAUUUGUGUAUGUUCAAAUACAUCAGUUAUUGCAA
Equus caballus (horse) is the source of this 1299-nucleotide long non-coding RNA. RefSeq lists it as uncharacterized. NCBI's taxonomy places the organism in Eukaryota, Metazoa, Chordata, Mammalia, Perissodactyla, Equidae. The record is from RefSeq and is a predicted model, not a curated record.